GGAUUCCAGGUCUUGGCAACCUUUGAAAUUCCAAUUCCAUUUGAGAGAGCUUUGAUGAGGCCAUAUGCUGAUUUCACCACCAGCAACUUCACAACCCAGUACUGGAAUGCCAUCAGCCAGCAGGCCCCUGUCAUCACCUGUGACUUCUAUCUGUGGCUCACUGGAAGGAAACGUAGACAUGCUGUGCAACUUAACAUCACUGCCACCCAGAAGCUCUUACGGCUAGUCAGAUGCCAAAGCUGGAAGCCUUUAUACAUAUCUCUACUGCCUUUUCAAAUGGUAACCUGAAGCACAUCGAUGAAGUUGUUUAUCCGUGCCCUGUGGAGCCAAAAAAAAAAUCGUCGAUUCCCUUGCGUGGUUAGACGACGCUGUUAUUGACGAGAUCACACCCAAGCUGAUCAGAGAUCCGCCCAAUUCUUGCACCUACAUCAAGGCCUUGGGAGAAAUGGUGGUGCAGCAGGAGAGCAGAAACCUAACCAUCGCCAUCAUAAGGCCCUCCAUUGUGGGAGCAACGUGGCAUGAGCCUUUGGGUUGGGUUGAAAAUCUAAAUGGACCUAGCAGACUUAUU
RNAcentral lists this long non-coding RNA (568 nucleotides) under Homo sapiens (human). RNAcentral describes it as "non-protein coding lnc-OR11H1-2:1". The record is from RNAcentral. Lineage: Eukaryota; Metazoa; Chordata; Mammalia; Primates; Hominidae.